Molecule: ribosomal RNA, 987 nt
Filed under: Triticum aestivum (bread wheat)
Lineage: Eukaryota; Viridiplantae; Streptophyta; Magnoliopsida; Poales; Poaceae
Description: partial small subunit ribosomal RNA
Source: RNAcentral
AUGGCGACCUCCAUGGUUUGCCUGGUUGCGCUCUGCCUCGUGUCUCCGCUGCUCCUCGCCGGCGCCGUCCUCGGCAACCCGGGCUACGGCGGUUUGUUUCCACAGUUCUACGAUCACUCGUGCCCCAAGGCAAAGGAGAUCGUGCAUUCCAUUGUGGCGCAGGCCGUGGCCAGGGAGACCAGGAUGGCGGCGUCCCUCGUCAGGCUGCAUUUCCAUGACUGCUUUGUCAAGGGUUGCGACGCUUCUGUCCUGCUGGACAACAGCACAAACAUUGUGAGUGAGAAGGGGUCCAACCCCAAUAAGAACUCCAUCAGGGGGUUCGAGGUCGUCGAUGAGAUCAAGGUCGCCCUUGAGACCGCCUGCCCCGGCACCGUCUCCUGCGCCGACAUCCUCGCUCUCGCCGUCGGUGGCCCUUACUGGGAUGUGCCACUCGGGCGGAGGGACUCUCUAGGCGCGAGCAUCCAGGGCUCCAACAAUGACAUCCCAGCACCAAACAACACCCUUCCCACCAUCAUCACCAAGUUCAAGCGCCUCGGCCUCAACAUCGUCGACGUUGUCGCCCUCUCAGGUGGCCACACCAUCGGCUUGUCCCGCUGCACCAGCUUCAGGCAGAGGUUGUACAACCAGUCCGGCAACGGCCUCGCCGACAGCACGCUGGACGUGUCCUACGCGGCUCAGCUGAGGCAGGGGUGCCCACGCUCUGGUGGCGAUGACAACCUCUUCCCGCUCGACAUCGUCACCUCCACCAAGUUCGACAACUUCUACUUCAAGAACAUCCUUGCCGGCAGGGGCCUUCUCAGCUCGGACGAGGUCCUGCUCACCAAGAGCGCCGAGACGGCGGCGCUCGUGAAGGCGUAUGCAAAUGAUGUGCAUCUCUUCUUCCAGCACUUCGCCCAGUCAAUGGUGAACAUGGGCAACAUCUCGCCACUCACUGGGUCACAAGGGGAGAUCAGGAAGAACUGCAGGAGGCUCAACAAUUUCCACUGA